GUACACAAAAAUGCACAUAUUGUGAGCUCGAUGAGUAGGGCGGGACACGUGGUAUCCUGUCUGAAUAUGGGGGGACCAUCCUCCAAGGCUAAAUACUCCUGACUGACCGAUAGUGAACCAGUACCGUGAGGGAAAGGCGAAAAGAACCCCGGCGAGGGGAGUGAAAAAGAACCUGAAACCGUGUACGUACAAGCAGUGGGAGCACGCUUAGGCGUGUGACUGCGUACCUUUUGUAUAAUGGGUCAGCGACUUAUAUUCUGUAGCAAGGUUAACCGAAUAGGGGAGCCGAAGGGAAACCGAGUCUUAACUGGGCGUUAAGUUGCAGGGUAUAGACCCGAAACCCGGUGAUCUAGCCAUGGGCAGGUUGAAGGUUGGGUAACACUAACUGGAGGACCGAACCGACUAAUGUUGAAAAAUUAGCGGAUGACUUGUGGCUGGGGGUGAAAGGCCAAUCAAACCGGGAGAUAGCUGGUUCUCCCCGAAAGCUAUUUAGGUAGCGCCUCGUGAAUUCAUCUCCGGGGGUAGAGCACUGUUUCGGCAAGGGGGUCAUCCCGACUUACCAACCCGAUGCAAACUGCGAAUACCGGAGAAUGUUAUCACGGGAGACACACGGCGGGUGCUAACGUCCGUCGUGAAGAGGGAAACAACCCAGACCGCCAGCUAAGGUCCCAAAGUCAUGGUUAAGUGGGAAACGAUGUGGGAAGGCCCAGACAGCCAGGAUGUUGGCUUAGAAGCAGCCAUCAUUUAAAGAAAGCGUAAUAGCUCACUGGUCGAGUCGGCCUGCGCGGAAGAUGUAACGGGGCUAAACCAUGCACCGAAGCUGCGGCAGCGACGCUGAUGCGUUGUUGGGUAGGGGAGCGUUCUGUAAGCCUGCGAAGGUGUGCUGUGAGGCAUGCUGGAGGUAUCAGAAGUGCGAAUGCUGACAUAAGUAACGAUAAAGCGGGUGAAAAGCCCGCUCGCCGGAAGACCAAGGGUUCCUGUCCAACGUUAAUCGGGGCAGGGUGAGUCGACCCCUAAGGCGAGGCCGAAAGGCGUAGUCGAUGGGAAACAGGUUAAUAUUCCUGUACUUGGUGUUACUGCGAAGGGGGGACGGAGAAGGCUAUGUUGGCCGGGCGACGGUUGUCCCGGUUUAAGCGUGUAGGCUGGUUUUCCAGGCAAAUCCGGAAAAUCAAGGCUGAGGCGUGAUGACGAGGCACUACGGUGCUGAAGCAACAAAUGCCCUGCUUCCAGGAAAAGCCUCUAAGCAUCAGGUAACAUCAAAUCGUACCCCAAACCGACACAGGUGGUCAGGUAGAGAAUACCAAGGCGCUUGAGAGAACUCGGGUGAAGGAACUAGGCAAAAUGGUGCCGUAACUUCGGGAGAA
RNAcentral lists this ribosomal RNA (1364 nucleotides) under Escherichia coli. Its description in RNAcentral is "partial 23S ribosomal RNA". It matches the Rfam family "Bacterial large subunit ribosomal RNA", at positions 375 to 1744 of the family's 2925-position model. Lineage: Bacteria; Pseudomonadati; Pseudomonadota; Gammaproteobacteria; Enterobacterales; Enterobacteriaceae. The record is from RNAcentral.